Molecule: transfer RNA, 87 nt
Filed under: Streptomyces lavendulae subsp. lavendulae
Lineage: Bacteria; Bacillati; Actinomycetota; Actinomycetes; Kitasatosporales; Streptomycetaceae
Description: tRNA-His
Source: RNAcentral
GCUGAGCUGGGUGCCGAGGUGGCGUGGGCGGCCUGUGAUGUCGCCGACCGGGAGGCGCUGGCUGCCGUUCUGGCCGGGAUCCCUGCG